GACGUAGGAGGCGAGCGUUAUCCGGAUUUACUGGGUGUAAAGCGCGUGCAGGCGGUUGGUUAAGUUGGAUGUGAAAGCUCCUGGCUCAACUGGGAGAGGUCGUUCAAGACUGACUGACUGGAGAGCAGUAAGGGAAGGUGGAAUUCCGGGUGUAGUGGUGAAAUGCGUAGAUAUCCGGAGGAACACCAGUGGCGAAGGCGGCCUUCUGGACUGCUUCUGACGCUCAGACGCGAAAGCUAGGGGAGCAAACGGG
Molecule: ribosomal RNA, 253 nt
Filed under: uncultured Longilinea sp.
Lineage: Bacteria; Bacillati; Chloroflexota; Anaerolineae; Anaerolineales; Anaerolineaceae
Description: partial 16S ribosomal RNA
Rfam family: Bacterial small subunit ribosomal RNA
Source: RNAcentral